GAAAUGCGAUAAGUAGUGUGAAUUGCAGAAUUCCGUGAAUCAUCGAAUCUUUGAACGCACAUUGCGCCCUCUGGUAUUCCGGGGGGCAUGCCUGUCCGAGCGUCAUUGCAACCCUCAAGCGCGGCUUGUGUGUUGGGUCUCCGCCUCCCGCCCCUCGGGGCGGCGGCGGGCCCGAAAGGCAGUGGCGGCGUCCCGACGUGGGAGCCUGAGCGAAUGGGAAGUUUAUCAUCAGACUGAUCGCUCCGGAGGGCCCCGACGGCGCCGGCCGACGUGGAAAUCCAAUUCUCUUCGGUUGACCUCGGAUCAGGUAGGAGUACCCGCUGAACUUAA
Molecule: unclassified non-coding RNA, 330 nt
Filed under: uncultured Onygenaceae
Lineage: Eukaryota; Fungi; Ascomycota; Eurotiomycetes; Onygenales
Description: sequence contains ITS1
Rfam family: 5.8S ribosomal RNA (bases 1-105)
Source: RNAcentral